RNAcentral lists this long non-coding RNA (640 nucleotides) under Nicotiana benthamiana. RNAcentral's name for it is "long non-coding RNA (NBEN_LNC003429)". Lineage: Eukaryota; Viridiplantae; Streptophyta; Magnoliopsida; Solanales; Solanaceae. The record is from RNAcentral.
AAAGGAGUUAUCAACUUUUGGUUCAGUAAUACCACCUGAUGCAUUUCUGCCCUUUGGAAUUUGAAUUGUUGAACUUGUAAUAGUACCGAAAUAGCCUUUAGUCCCUUGCCAAGUUCCUUUCGAGAAGAUGUCGCUCGCACUAACUUAUGUUAAGCAGGUCUCCGACAACGUGCCUGCUUUCUCUUAUUUUAUGUGGGUAUCUUGCUCAUUGUACAUUACAUUCUCUUAAUCUAUAACAGAGAGUUAUCUCUAGCCUUCCUUGUGGAUUUCAAAUGACGAAAAACAUCAGAAAUAUUCAGCUCCCAAGUACGCAGUCUUUUGGAAUUCCGUUUCAUUCCUAAAGAUCAGAUUUCCCAAAUUGCUUCUACUCGGUCUGCUGACUCACACUCCUGAGAGAACGCCAUCUGCUAUUUUUGCUUUUGGGUAAACAUUGGGCAAUAUAAGAUAUUCAAUCAGUUUACACUCUGUUUGUUGUUUAGUUUCGCUAUGUUCUUCAGCUUUGUUGCUGCUACUCUUUUGAUCACUUCCGGGUGAGAUCAAUUUACCCUAUACAAUUUUCGUUAGUCUCUGCCUGUAGGUAUUUGAGAAAAUUACUCAAUGAAUUAGGCUUUUCUUUUGUAGCGGGGUGUACUGAUCAAAU